GCCUAAUACAUGCAAGUCGAACGCCCCGCAAGGGGAGUGGCAGACGGGUGAGUAACGCGUGGGAAUCUACCUAGUUCUACGGAACAACACAGGGAAACUUGUGCUAAUACCGUAUACGCCCUACGGGGGAAAGAUUUAUCGGAAUUAGAUGAGCCCGCGUAAGAUUAGCUAGUUGGUGGGGUAAUGGCCUACCAAGGCGACGAUCUUUAGCUGGUCUGAGAGGAUGAUCAGCCACACUGGGACUGAGACACGGCCCAGACUCCUACGGGAGGCAGCAGUGGGGAAUAUUGGACAAUGGGCGCAAGCCUGAUCCAGCCAUGCCGCGUGAGUGAUGAAGGCCUUAGGGUUGUAAAGCUCUUUCAGUGGGGAAGAUAAUGACGGUACCCACAGAAGAAGCCCCGGCUAACUUCGUGCCAGCAGCCGCGGUAAUACGAAGGGGGCUAGCGUUGUUCGGAUUUACUGGGCGUAAAGCGCACGUAGGCGGUUGUUAAGUCAGGGGUGAAAUCCUGGAGCUCAACUCCAGAACUGA
RNAcentral lists this ribosomal RNA (529 nucleotides) under uncultured Alphaproteobacteria bacterium. RNAcentral's name for it is "bacterial SSU rRNA". It matches the Rfam family "Bacterial small subunit ribosomal RNA", at positions 46 to 624 of the family's 1533-position model. The record is from RNAcentral. Lineage: Bacteria; Pseudomonadati; Pseudomonadota; Alphaproteobacteria.